AACGAACGCUGGCGGCAUGCCUAACACAUGCAAGUCGAACGAGACCUUCGGGUCUAGUGGCGCACGGGUGCGUAACGCGUGGGAACCUGCCCUUAGGUUCGGAAUAACUCCCCGAAAGGGGUGCUAAUACCGGAUAAUGUCUUCGGACCAACGAUUUAUCGUCUUUGGAUGGGCCCGCGUUGGAUUAGCUAGUUGGUAGAGUAAAAGCCUACCAAGGCGACGAUCCAUAGCUGGUCAGAGAGGAUGAUCAGCCACACUGGGACUGAGACACGGCCCAGACUCCUACGGGAGGCAGCGAUAGGGAAUAUUGGACAAGGGGCGAAAGUCAGAUACAGCAAUGCAGCGUAAGUGAUGAAGACCUUAGGGUUGUAAAGCUCUUUUACACGGGAUGAUAAUGAAAGUAACGGGAGAAUAAGGUCCGGCUAACUCCGUG
RNAcentral lists this ribosomal RNA (433 nucleotides) under uncultured bacterium. RNAcentral describes it as "partial 16S ribosomal RNA". It matches the Rfam family "Bacterial small subunit ribosomal RNA", at positions 29 to 507 of the family's 1533-position model. The record is from RNAcentral.